AUUGAACGCUGGCGGCAUGCCUAACACAUGCAAGUCGAACGGCAGCACAGCAGUAGCAAUACUGUGGGUGGCGAGUGGCGGACGGGUGAGGAAUACGUCGGAAUCUGCCCAGUCGUGGGGGAUAACUAGCCGAAAGGUUAGCUAAUACCGCAUACGACCGAGAGGUGAAAGCGGGGGACCGCAAGGCCUCGCGCGAUUGGAUGAGCCGACGUCGGAUUAGCUAGUUGGCGGGGUAAAGGCCCACCAAGGCGACGAUCCGUAGCUGGUCUGAGAGGAUGAUCAGCCACACUGGAACUGAGACACGGUCCAGACUCCUACGGGAGGCAGCAGUGGGGAAUAUUGGACAAUGGGCGCAAGCCUGAUCCAGCAAUGCCGCGUGUGUGAAGAAGGCCUCGGUU
This 398-nucleotide ribosomal RNA is filed under the name uncultured bacterium. Its description in RNAcentral is "bacterial SSU rRNA". It matches the Rfam family "Bacterial small subunit ribosomal RNA", at positions 29 to 424 of the family's 1533-position model. The record is from RNAcentral.